AUCAUGUCAUGAACUUAAUGUCCAACUGUUAUGAUGAUGUGCUAAUUAUGAUUUGUUUAUAAAUCAGCAUCCUAUAAGGAGUAAAGGUGCCAUUUUUGUAAUUCUUUAGUUUUAUAUUCAUAAAGUCAUUGUCUAAUUAUUAUGUGUCAUUUUAUUACUGUCCUUUUAGAAAAAGAAUGUCCAAUGACACUACAUGCCCGCCAAUGAUCUGUAUUUAAAAUGACUAACAGUUUGUUCAGACACAGACCCAUUACAGACUUAACCUUAAGAUCAUAUCAAAUUAAUUUUUACAUUCUUAUCCCCAUCCGUUCCAACCAAUUAGGUUUUUUUAUGUAUUUUUACAAAGUUCUUUGGAAUCUGUAAUAAAAAUACGUAAAAAUAAAAUAUAAGAGUCCAACUCAACCCAAUAUUUUCAAUUUAGGUGGAUGAGAAUCUAUCAAUUAACUUGAUCUGGCCUUACCCUAACUUUGGGUCUUUAGCAUUGACUUUUUAUUACAAAAGACAAAGUCAAUAAGUCUUGACUUAUUACGACCCAAGCAUCAACUUUGCAUCAAACAGUCCACAUCAUAAGCUAUCUAUGUACAAAGCUGCUUGAUGAUAUCAUAACUCUUAUAUCAAAAACUUAAACCUGAAACUUAACCUGGUUUUUUAACAUUGAAAUUCUAUUAAGAAAGACAAAGUCAACGUGUACCUUAACCUUGCAAGGACAGACGCAUAGACAGAAGAACUAUACGUCCAGUUUGCCUUGCAGGCAUAGCUAUAUAGUUCAAAGAAAACAUAAGACACUAUUUUAACCAACAAGAUUGUGUAUGGCCUUUGUUUCUACUGCCGAUUUUAUUCAAUUUUAAUGGCAUAUACAUUGCCCAGUAAUAAUAUUAUAAUGUUUUAUGUCCAAUACCAUUUUAAUUCUUUCAACUUUACUUAUCACAAGAUUAAAAUGUACUAUCUCCAAACUUGAAAUAUGAAAUUGCCGAAAUAAUAUAUACUUGAUCAGAUUUCUGAAAAGGACAAUUUAAUCAGAUGUGUUGGAACUAGUAUUACGCAUACUUUUUGCAUAGCUCUUGUUUUAUAUGACUGGAUAUCAGACUGUCCAACUUUAAAUGCCAUUUUCUCAGUUUUAGAAAAAGGGGACAUAAAACAUUAUAAUAUUCACACGACGAUUUGUU
This 1166-nucleotide long non-coding RNA is filed under the name Mytilus galloprovincialis (Mediterranean mussel). Lineage: Eukaryota; Metazoa; Mollusca; Bivalvia; Mytilida; Mytilidae. The record is from RNAcentral.